UACGUAGGGUGCAAGCGUGUCCGGAAUUAUUGGGCGUAAAGAGCUCGUAGGCGGUUUGUUGCGUCGGCUGUGAAAUCCCCGAGGCUCAACCUCGGGUCUGCAGUCGGAUACGAGCAAACUAGAGUGUUGCAGGGGGAGACUGGAAUUCCUGGUGGUAGCGGUGAAAAUGCGCCAGAUAUCAGGAGGAACACCGGUGGCGAAGGCGGAGUCUCGUGGCAAACAACUGACGUGAGGAGCGAAAGCGUGGGGAGCGAACGG
RNAcentral lists this ribosomal RNA (258 nucleotides) under uncultured bacterium. RNAcentral describes it as "partial 16S ribosomal RNA". It matches the Rfam family "Bacterial small subunit ribosomal RNA", at positions 524 to 775 of the family's 1533-position model. The record is from RNAcentral.